This 253-nucleotide ribosomal RNA is filed under the name uncultured bacterium. RNAcentral's name for it is "partial 16S ribosomal RNA". It matches the Rfam family "Bacterial small subunit ribosomal RNA", at positions 524 to 776 of the family's 1533-position model. The record is from RNAcentral.
UACGGAGGGUGCGAGCGUUAAUCGGAAUUACUGGGCGUAAAGGGUGCGUAGGUGGUUGUAUAAGUUAUCUGUGAAAUCCCUGGGCUCAACCUGGGCAGGUCAGAUAAUACUGUACAACUCGAGUAAGGGAGAGGGUAGUGGAAUUUCCGGUGUAGCGGUGAAAUGCGUAGAGAUCGGAAGGAACACCAGUGGCGAAGGCGACUACCUGGCCUAUUACUGACACUGAGGCACGAAAGCGUGGGGAGCAAACAGG